GAGGGUAUAGCUCAGUGGUAGAGCACAUGCUUAGCAUGCAUGAGGUCCUGGGGUCAGUCCCCAGCACCUCCU
RNAcentral lists this transfer RNA (72 nucleotides) under Camelus bactrianus (Bactrian camel). It matches the Rfam family "tRNA". Rfam says of the family: Transfer RNA (tRNA) molecules are approximately 80 nucleotides in length. Their secondary structure includes four short double-helical elements and three loops (D, anti-codon, and T loops). Further hydrogen bonds mediate the characteristic L-shaped molecular structure. tRNAs have two regions of fundamental functional importance: the anti-codon, which is responsible for specific mRNA codon recognition, and the 3' end, to which the tRNAs corresponding amino acid is attached (by aminoacyl-tRNA synthetases). tRNAs cope with the degeneracy of the genetic code in two manners: having more than one tRNA (with a specific anti-codon) for a particular amino acid; and 'wobble' base-pairing, i.e. permitting non-standard base-pairing at the 3rd anti-codon position. Lineage: Eukaryota; Metazoa; Chordata; Mammalia; Artiodactyla; Camelidae. RNAcentral also lists the same sequence under 3 other names. The record is from Rfam by way of RNAcentral.